AACGAACGCUGGCGGCGCGUCUUAAGCAUGCAAGUCGAGCGGCAAGGUAGCAAUACCCUAGAGCGGCGGACUGGUGAGUAACACGUGGGUGAUCUACCUUUGGGUUGGGGAUAGCCAUUAGAAAUAGUGGGUAAUACCGAAUGUGGUUGCGAGGUUAUGACCUUGCAAAGAAAGGAGCUACGGCUCCGCCCGGAGAUGAGCUCGCGCCCCAUUAGCUAGUUGGUGAGGUAAAGGCCCACCAAGGCGAUGAUGGGUAGCCGGACUGAGAGGUUGAACGGCCACAUUGGGACUGAGAUACGGCCCAAACUCCUACGGGAGGCAG
Molecule: ribosomal RNA, 322 nt
Filed under: uncultured Spirochaetota bacterium
Lineage: Bacteria; Pseudomonadati; Spirochaetota
Description: bacterial SSU rRNA
Rfam family: Bacterial small subunit ribosomal RNA
Source: RNAcentral